RNAcentral lists this long non-coding RNA (2872 nucleotides) under Lactuca sativa (garden lettuce). RNAcentral describes it as "long non-coding RNA (LSAT_LNC008101)". Lineage: Eukaryota; Viridiplantae; Streptophyta; Magnoliopsida; Asterales; Asteraceae. The record is from RNAcentral.
UUUAUUUCCAUUAUUUAUGUGUGUAUAACGAUUUGAGUUUCAUAAUCUAUUUGUUAAAUAUAUUAAUUAACCAAAAUGUUAAAACCAUAGAAUGCUUAUCACCAUAUAAUACAUUUUACUGCAACUUAAAUCAAUUAAACAAUAUCAUAUACCAUAUUACUUUUAUGCUUAACCCUUUUGAUCUACGACAAUUGAAAAACCGAAAAACAUUAAAAAACUUUGAAAAAUCAUGGAACAUCAAUGUUUAUUGCAUUAAUUGACUUAAUUUAUUUAAUGUGCUUAAUAUAUUGCUCAAAAGGUUAAAGUUUGGAAUGGGGCUGAAUGUACUGUGUACAUUGCUACUUCCUUCAAAAAUAUAAACACAUAUAUCCUAUUCCAUAGCCUUUUGGGUCAGCAAACACAUUUUCCAGCAGCUAGCACCUAGAUGAAUCAGAGAUUUCAUUUCCACCAUAUAUGAUAUAUUUUCUUCUCUAUUGCCUUCAACAUUGGUUCACCUCCUAGUUUGGAAAGAGAUCAUGUAAUAAAACAUUAGUUUAUUAAUUUGCUUACUUGUAUUGCUUUACCUCUUACUUUGACCUUUAUACCCUCCAUAUCAUUAUCAUAAUAAUAGCACCAANNNNNNNNNNNNNNNNNNNNNNNNNNNNNNNNNNNNNNNNNNNNNNUAGUAAUAGUAAGUUAAAUUUUUGGGUUUUGUGGCUUAUUAAGUUAUUAUAUAUGCUAACAUGCAAGUUACCACAUUGCUUACAUUGCAGGGUGUAUUAUUAAAAAGAAUAAAAGAGCAAGGUACCUUUGGGCGUGUUUGGCAAAAGUAGCUGUUAGCUGGAAGCGGGUAGCGGUUAGCUGGUAGCAGGUAGUUGGUAGCGGAAAGCUGUAGCUUUUAUUUGUUAUAUGAAUGUUUGGCAAAAGUAGCUGGAAGCUUUUGAAAUAUAUAAAAUUACAUAAAAGGACAAUUGAUUAAAAAUAAAAAAAUAUAUAAAUAUAUUUUUAAGGGUAAUUAUAGAAAUUGAUUUCAAAAGCUCUGGAGCGUUUUGUUAAAAGCUACAUGAAGUAGCUUUUAGAAUCGGAGCGUUUUGUUAAAACUAAAAGCUAAACGCUCGUACUACCAAACGAAGCUUUUUGUUUAAACUAAAGCGUUUUGUCAAAAGCUAAAAGCUAGAAGCUCCCAAACGCUUCCUAAAGCUCUGUGCCAAACACGCCCUUUAUAUCAAAGUCGUGUAUAUAGUACAUCCGUUAGAAGCGAUUAAAAGAACAAAUUAAAAACAACAUAUCAACUAAAAAUGUACUUAUAUUAAUAUUUGGUUCUAGUACAUUGGUUUUUCAAAUCAACAAUACUAUAUUAUGGUCUUUUUCCACGCAAACAACUAUUUUAUUUUUUUCUAACUAAACUAUAUGCUUUAAGUUUAUUUUCUCAUUAAAUCGUUGUAUUUUAAUUAUGUACUUAGAAAAACAUUACAUUUUAAAUUAAUUAUUUCAUGUCAAUAUAAUUUAGAAAAACAUACAUCAGCAAACAAUUCACUAAACCGGGAAGAGACUUGAUUUUGGAAGUGCAAUGCCUUAAUUCAAAAAAAAUGAAGUUCAAUUCCUUAAUAUAAAGAAAGAGAUUGAGACAAAAUACCCUUAUUCAUGUCAAGAACAUUGACUAAAUGAAAAGAUUAAUGAGAAAACCUGACCAAAAUCUAAAUGUGAUCCCAUAAUAGCAGAGAGAAAAACUUCUCUUAUAGAAAUAUCAUGAGGUCAAAACACCAUAGAUAUCGAGUUCAGAAAUGCUACCUGAGGUUAGAGCUUUGAAAUUUGAAAUCAAGGUCAAAUGAUAAGAGAACAUGCGCAUAUGCUAGAGGACUUUGUUGUUAAGGAGAGAUUGUGGUGGUGAACGAUGGUGAGAAGAAGCGAUAUGUGGUGAAGGUAGUAAAGAAGAUUUAGCCAAGACGGACUUCAUAGCUCAUCCUGUAGAAGACAAAUUUUUUUAUGAGAAGACAAAUCAAAGAAAUUGAACAAAACUUAUAACACCAAAGGAUAAAAUCAUUUGAUCGAACCAUAGACUAAGAAUCAGAUCACAAACAAGAACUUCUUCAUUGAUAGGAGGAUCAAAUGACCAAAUAAAUUGGGUAUUUCCACAACUCUAAACAUAUUAUGACCUGCAAACUGUUGGAUAGGAAGCACCAAAUCUACAUAAAAUGAUCAUGGAAACGAAAAUCAAAACAAUUAGAAAUGCAGCAGCACACAAUAAAAACAAAUAAAAAUCCUAGAUUAAGAAAGACAGAAAGAUACAUGGAAUGGGUCCAAAAGAAUGAUAGAAUCAUUGCUUACCUUCAAAUCGGAUCGAUAGUGAAAAUUAGGGCUUGAAAUCGGUGCAGGAUUUAAAAUCGUGGCAGCGUAUACUAAAAAAAAUAAAAUAUUCAACUCAUUUCAUGAUGAAAUUGAUUACAUUAUACAAUAAAUCUGUAUGCUUUUACCAAAAAUGUCGAAUAGCAAAGAUAGAUAUAAUGAUUACCUUUAAAUCGGUAUAGAGAGUGAGGAGUAUAUGUUUAACUCGUCGCAACUUCUAAAAUCAUUUAAACUCAGGUUCUAUAGUGAGGUUUAGAGCUUGUGGAUGUGUUUGAAAUGAGAGAUUCAUGUUACUAAAAAGAAUGAAACACCAGAAAUUGGAGAGUGGAAGUGAACAAAUCAACAGAGGUGUUGCAGGGAACGAAGGCUUGACAUGUGUAACGAUGACCACGAAAUUGAGUGGUCGUGGCGGUGGAGAGUGAGGGAGUCGUAUGGUUGGUUAAACGCCGCAUAUAGGGGAAGGAAGCGCGAUGCGAGAGACAGGUGCAAAUUACCGAAAUACUGGGAAUUUAAAGGGGCAACCUUUGGGAGAUAAAGAACCGAAAAG